Molecule: long non-coding RNA, 1423 nt
Filed under: Dromaius novaehollandiae (emu)
Lineage: Eukaryota; Metazoa; Chordata; Aves; Casuariiformes; Dromaiidae
Description: lncRNA (ENSDNVG00000015043.1)
Source: RNAcentral
CCGGCUGCCUGCGUCCAGUCGCGUCCCGUGCCUUCCCCCGACGGCGCCUCGUCUCUCGCGCCUYCCGCCCGCCCGCGCCCGCGGGGCGAAGGUGGCGAGGAGCUCUUGAGCGAAGCCCGCAGGCAGAAGUGGCGGGGACAGGCCUGGCCUUGUUCGGCAGUGGCGGAGGGAAGCGGCGCGUCUGCGCUGCGGCCGCCGUGCACAGUGGUGCUGUGUGUCCUGGUUAGGCCCGAGGAAAAAGACACCUUUUCUUCAGCAAUAAGGGCGGCGCGYGCUACUCAGGGCCUAGCUCGUAGGAUUUAUUGCACAACUCUAAGCCUACAGAUGCUGCUCCGUGGAAGAACUCACACAAGGGCGUGCUGCAGUGACACUGGAAACUUCUGGCAAAUAUGGAAAGGAAACAGCAAAACAAUAACAUUCUAAUCCUCUGCAAAUAUAAUCACCUAAGAGGCCACUGGUAUCCAGACUGCUUAAAAAAUUAAGAGUAACAUAGUAUCUUGAUUGUACUUCRUUGCGUAUCUAAGGCUCUGUUCAUCAAGAGCUCUGUGGACAGAACACUGUAAAUGCAAUGAAUUCUACUGAAAUAUACAGGAAUUCCUUACAUUAUCAAAAUUCAGCAUUUGGAUAGAGUCAGGCUUGGUUGGACCUUCAGCACUCAUCAGAUUUAGAAUUCUGACUGAAAAAGCACACCAUCAGUUAGAUGGCACRCCUAACAGAGAUUGCGAAAGUCUCAUCUACAUUAGGACUCCCAACAUUACAGCUUAACUAAUGAUACCACACAUUUUUACAUUUAUUUACCUUUUGUUAUAAUUAGUUUAAACAUACAUUCUAUAGCAAAAAAAWUAUUCUCUUAAAUCCUUUUUCAUUAGUCUGUCCAGGGUUGUUCAUAAUUUUCAACGAACRCUAUUCCCACUUCUCUGCAUUUUACCAAAUUCUUUCAAUGGCAUCUACAGCAAAAAACUCAGUAUCUUGCAUUUGCAUUUUCCAGUUAAGCAUUCACCCUUCCUCUACUUUUGUCUUUGCUAAAGGACCAUAUACAGUCUUCAUGUAUUUGCAUGUUAAUACACUUGGGUAGAAUUGUAAGCCUGUGGCAGGUGGCAUAUUCUUAAAAAGACUGAAUUGUCAUUUGUUAUUCUCUUUUGAUAUUUCAUGUCACAUUUUCACAUCAUGUCAAACAAAUAACUUGUAGGGUGAACUAACAUAGACCUAACCACAGAAUCCUAAGUUAAAUAGGGAUGUUAAACAUUGAGAAACUAACUAAACAUAAWCCCGAAAUAAUGGACAAAAACACGACUAAUUAUAUAUGAAACAUGAUUUUUACAACUGUUGCAGCAAUUUCCCUUCAGAGUUUGUUUCCUUUUUUAAGCAAGUUACAAAACCUGCCAUCUUUUCARAAGAGUUAGUUUUGCUUUCUUGAUACUUG